This 237-nucleotide unclassified non-coding RNA is filed under the name plant metagenome. RNAcentral describes it as "partial contains small subunit ribosomal RNA, internal transcribed spacer 1, and 5.8S ribosomal RNA". The record is from RNAcentral.
UCUCCGUUGGUGAACCAGCGGAGGGAUCAUUACCGAGUUUAUAGCUCUCAAACACCAUGUGCACCUUACCAAACGUUGCUUCGGCGGGAUGCCCCGGGCGCCGGCCGCAAGGCCUCUGCCCCGGGACCAGGCGCGCGCCGGAGCCCCAAACAAAACUCUUGUUUCUGUAGAAGCGUCAUAGUUGCCUUUAAGGCAAAAAAUGAAUCAAAACUUUCAACAACGGAGCUCUUGGUUCUG